This 253-nucleotide ribosomal RNA is filed under the name uncultured bacterium. Its description in RNAcentral is "partial 16S ribosomal RNA". It matches the Rfam family "Bacterial small subunit ribosomal RNA", at positions 524 to 776 of the family's 1533-position model. The record is from RNAcentral.
UACGAAGGGGGCUAGCGUUGCUCGGAAUCACUGGGCGUAAAGCGCACGUAGGCUGGUCUUUAAGUCAGGGGUGAAAUCCCGGAGCUCAACUCCGGAACUGCCUUUGAUACUGGAGAUCUUGAGUCCGGGAGAGGUGAGUGGAACUCCGAGUGUAGAGGUGAAAUUCGUAGAUAUUCGGAAGAACACCAGUGGCGAAGGCGGCUCACUGGCCCGGUACUGACGCUGAGGUGCGAAAGCGUGGGGAGCAAACAGG